This 429-nucleotide ribosomal RNA is filed under the name Chloroflexota bacterium. RNAcentral describes it as "Chloroflexi bacterium partial 16S ribosomal RNA". It matches the Rfam family "Bacterial small subunit ribosomal RNA", at positions 355 to 776 of the family's 1533-position model. The record is from RNAcentral. Lineage: Bacteria; Bacillati; Chloroflexota.
UGGGGAAUAUUGCACAAUGGGCGCAAGCCUGAUGCAGCCAUGCCGCGUGUGUGAAGAAGGCCUUCGGGUUGUAAAGCACUUUCAGCGGGGAGGAAGGCGAUAAGGUUAAUAACCUUGUCGAUUGACGUUACCCGCAGAAGAAGCACCGGCUAACUCCGUGCCAGCAGCCGCGGUAAUACGGAGGGUGCAAGCGUUAAUCGGAAUUACUGGGCGUAAAGCGCACGCAGGCGGUCUGUCAAGUCGGAUGUGAAAUCCCCGGGCUUAACCUGGGAACUGCAUUCGAAACUGGCAGGCUAGAGUCUUGUAGAGGGGGGUAGAAUUGCAGGUGUAGCGGUGAAAUGCGUAGAGAUCUGGAGAAAUACCGGAGGCGAAGGCGGCCCCCUGGACAAAGACUGACGCUCAGGUGCGAAAGCGUGGAGAGCAAACAGG